RNAcentral lists this long non-coding RNA (4334 nucleotides) under Malus domestica (apple). RNAcentral describes it as "long non-coding RNA (MDOM_LNC008626)". The record is from RNAcentral. Lineage: Eukaryota; Viridiplantae; Streptophyta; Magnoliopsida; Rosales; Rosaceae.
UUUUUAGGUUACUUUAUUAAUGGUAACAAAAUAUCGGGGAAGUUUAGGAUGACUUUCUAGGAAGUGGGAUUGCUUUUACAACGAACUUGGCUAAGAAGGUCAUCUGAUGCAGGGGUUUUUAUCUUUCCGGAAGUUUGGUCUUUAGUAGUACUGAUCCUUCCUUCCUUGAGAGGUUUCUAUCUUUUGGGGCAUUGAUUUGCUUUGGUAGGAAUAUCUCUCUAGUAUGUAUGUGUGUGUGUGUAUUAUAUAAUUAUCCAGUUGUCUUAGAAUAAAACCUAAUUUUGUUAUCUUUUAACUCAAAUAAUUUCACCAUUUUUUUGCCUUAGAAUAACAAAACCUAAUUUUGUUAUCCUUUAACUCAAAUAAUUUCACCAUUUUUUUGCCCUGCAACGACUAAUAAAACUUUUUUUACUAAUAAAAAUAACAAAACUGUUGCAGUCCUAUUAGAUUAGGAAUGUGAUUGUGUAAAUCCUAACAUAUCUAAGAUAUCCUUAUGGGAUUGUACCACAUCUCUUAGACUAGAAAUUAUCCUAUUAGAGUUAUAAUACACCCAUGAAAACCCGAAUUUUUCAUGUAUAUCAUGUCUUAGAACCCGAAUGUUCUAACUUUGAUGCUUAUGGAUAUUUUAUUUCCUAUAGCAUUAUUCACAAUUUUGUUCCCUCCAUUCAAUGGAUUGUCGAACCGUCACAAGUUCGAUCUCACUAAUUUGGACGUUUCUAACAGAAACCACUUUAUGUGGGUACAAAACGUGAAUCUCCACUUAACUAUCUAGAGGUUGAGAAACUAUUGUAACCAACAAUGGCACGGAAAAGCUAAAUAAGCCUCCACCAUGAUCUUCAUUUCAAGACUUAUACCUGAAGCAUUACAAACUGAAUUACCUCCCGAACGAGGAUUCCAUGAAUGAAUAUGAUUCUAAAGUUUAUAAAUCCGAUCAAAUUUUGACUGGAGAAUAUUUUUCUCAUCCUUCCAUGUUUCUAACUCGUUCCUAAAGCAACAGUGUAGAAAGAGGAAGUUUACCAAAUUCUUGGAUCUAAUUACUACCAUAAAUGUGAGAAAACGGUAUAGACUCAGCUUCGACUAGAGUCUACCGAAUGGUUAUGCCCUACUUUGGCAGGGAUGCACCGAAGGGCAUGCUCUACUUCGGCAAAGAUGCACCAAACGGUAUUGCUCUUCUUCAGCAAAGGCCUACUGAACAAACCCCUCCAGCUGGAGCCUACCAAACCCAAGUCUGGGUCUAUCUCUCUCACAUUCGAGUUUGUUUUUACAACAUAUGGUAAAAUCAGGGCUUGCCAAGGUGUGACAUCAUGCCCGAAGCGUGAUCCUUGGCACCUAAGACCUAAAACUUCAAGAAUAAACGAUAAUAUUUCCGAACCUCAACCCUGCAGAAUCUACUUCUGUCUCAAUGAAAUAGAUCAUUGGUUAUGCACCUGUUCGUGCCUCUCUCCCAAUGUCGUUAAGGAGUACCAUUCUCGUAGUCAAUAUGUAAAACUAAUUUUGCUCCACCGAACACCGUUGGAAGAGUAGAAUUUUGACAUGAAUGGCCUUGUUGGCCGAAUCCCCUCAAUAAUUUUGAUUUACUUUGUGAACAUUUUUCUAUGUUCUUGGAUUCCAGUUUGGUGUUUGUUUUAGUUAUGGAUCAUCUUAUCAAUAUUGUCCUUGAAUAUGAGUUAAUUGAAUCAUGUUUCUUGUAUACAUGUGACCAAAUUCAAUUAAAUACGUGGUUAGGUACAAAUGUAGGAAAGUUAGUUGUCUGGAUGAACAUGAUACUACGCACACUAACUUUAUACCUAAAUGACAUCUCUAGCAACGACUUCAAGUCUAUCCAACCUGAUUAAGAGCAUUUGCGCGCUCCUCGUAUGAAUGUCAUGACACGUGCAACAAACAGAAACAAAUAGCAUAAUUUAAAGUGUACAAUGGUACGCUGACCAUACACUCCUACACUCUUGCAUGAUACGUAAAGCUGAAAAGGGAAUGGAUAUUCUGCAUUUUGCAUGUCAACUCAGUUUUUUUCUAAAUAGGCAGAACAAAUAACCAACACAAACUCUUCAUUAAAGUACAUAAUAAAACAACUACUGAGUAGCUGCAACGGCAAAUCAGUCAAAAUAUGCAUAAACGUAACAGCACAUAAAAUAAAAAUACCUUUAACAGGAGAGUCAGACCAAGCAGAUAGACUCCUGCUAAGAAAUCCUAGACGACUUUGUCUACCCUUGACCUGUUUUCCCUUCUGCAGCCAAGGACUCCCACUCCAAGCAUCCGACUGAUGACUGCACGAAAUGAUGGUAAAAUGUUUUAAUGUGACAAAACCCUUUAUCAAUGAUCAGGGGACACAGCCAUUCAUCUAACUGAGCUUUCUUCGACUGCUAAUGUUACCUUCCAAAUACAAAACCUAGCCAGAAAUCUAAACUUCAAGAAAAAUAUAGCUCCACACAAAAAGUUAAAAAUUAUUUUGGCUAAAACGCAUUCACUUCUGUAAUAACAAGAAGUACGCGGGUAAAGAAUGUAUGACUUACAAUUUGAGAUGCCAUUUCAAAGAAGUAAUCAACUUGAUGAUAAUCCAGUAAGAAACCAAAGCGCCCAUUGCUAAAGGAGUAUCGAGAGUGCUCUGAAAAAAUGAAAAGAAUCAAUAACCAAAUAUUUUGGCAAUUACAUCAAAUUAUAAAACUUACUUUAACAUAAGAUUACUGAAUAACCAAUUCAGUCGUAAGUGCCUGUGGGUCCAUAAGACAAAUUUAAAUAAAAACAAGGUUUGAAGUAACAUUGUCCUAAUGGUGCCAGGCAAUAAAUGGUGUUUCUAUGAUCUAAAAAUUGAUCCUCAAAGGGACAAGUAAUAGACAAGAAACACAAUCUAGGUGUAUUGCACUUGGCUAUGGAAAGUGACAUGCUGUACAUGUCUACUGAGUAUUGAGUGUCCAAUAAUCUACUAGCUAAAUCUUAGUACACAAAGACAUGGCCCUAUUAUCCAAAAAUUCCAAUGAUUCUCCUUGGACACAUAUCAGCUAUAAAAAGUCCCCCAAAUAAUUUUAGCAAGGUACAUCAAGUACCGUUACAAAUUUCUACCCCACAUAGUUUAAUUAAGCAGGCAAACAUUCGUACUCGAAUAUCAAGAAUACAGCCAAAAGGAAUGCGAGAGAACACCUGAAAGAUGGAGGUUGUUCCAAUGAUACGCAUAGCCCACUUGACAAAUUGUGCUAUACCAACAUCUACUGUCCCAUCUUUUGAGACAACAAACUCCCUCACAAUCCAGUACCCUAAUGCAGCUCCCGCAGGGAUAAUUCCCACUAGUAAAAAUAUAGAGACCUGGCAGAAAAACACGAGAAGCCAAGACAAUAAAGUGAUCCAAAGAGAAAGUUUCAGAAGCAGACAAUUUGUCUAGAUAUUUAUGAGAAUUUUGCGAAUAUAAGAUUUAGGGAACCAAUUCUUACUGGGUUAUGCAUCUCUUCACUUAGCCCAAAACUCAAACGAAUAGAAUUUACCAUCAGUGAAAACUGAGGAACAAGGAAAGAUCCUGCUCCAAGCUGUCAAAGGCAUAUAAAUUGUAAGAAUUACUUGUACUGUCAAUUACAUGAGGUUAAUAAGUUACCAUGAAGCAACAGUAAACUUCAUGACACCAAUUGUUACCACUGAUCCAUAUAUGGUAAGAUAGAGGACAUUUUUCCUUCCAGUUGGCAACAGCUUCAUUCCCUGAAAGAUUAAAAACAAACAAUGAUGCAAAACAUUACCUACAAAUUUGCAAGCUAAAACUGCAGGUGAAAGAUAAUGAUCACAAAAUCCUGUAAUUACAAUUCGUUUUAUAGGAGAUCUGAAAUUCAAACUACCCAAUGAAAAACUAAGAGCAUCCAAGUCAAACAAAAAUACAUCGGAAUCACACAAAAAAUUACCUGGAAGAGAAUGAUUAUCAUGACCAUAAAAACUCCUAUAACCAUUGAAGUGCUAUAAUAAAAAGGUACCCAAUUGCUGACAAUUGGUGCCAACAAUAGUAAAGUAAAUCCCAGUGCAAGACACACAAGGCGCCAUCUCUGAAAAUCUGUACAGACAAAAACAGAUAACUAUCAGAGCCUGCAAAUUGUAGCAUAAGCAAUUAUAGUCAGCCACACUUCUAUUUUUAUCAGACCUUCUUCAACAGUUAUGGUGACAGAGUCAGGUAUUUUGCCAAUGAACUUGACAUCAACAUAUCUUUCAUCAUAAGGCGACAUGACAGAGCUCCAUAACCCUUUCUGAAGAUUUUUCCAAUCAUCCUCUACACACUGACAUAAUCCAAGCGUAUUAUUCCUGUAAAAAAAAAUUCAUGAGUGAGACAAAACAAUCCACACAAAAAAGGUGUGCGUGUGUGUGAG